AUAGCUGAAGCACAGUACAAAUAUCGCUGCGAAAAUGACAGUUGUGAGUUGUGGCUCAGAUUUGGCUUCGCAUGCGGGGCGCAAUCAAAGCAAACGUCAUUAGCACUCGCGACAUCGCCUUCGAUUGACAGAAGGGAAGGGUAGAGGAGAAGGAGCAGGAGCAGCAGAUCCUGCCGCAGGAUUCAGCAGCCAGGAGGCCAGGCACGAACAACUUUACAUUUGCAUAACUUCGGUGCAGCUCCAGCGUUCAGAUUCCGAUUCACAGAUGUCAAUGGGCGUGGCCGUGGGACGCGAAGCGAGCCAGCUGAAAAUCAAAGCCCAAUUGGCACAAACACGCGG
Non-coding RNA from Drosophila takahashii, 339 nucleotides. NCBI's taxonomy places the organism in Eukaryota, Metazoa, Arthropoda, Insecta, Diptera, Drosophilidae. The record is from RefSeq and is a predicted model, not a curated record.